This 60-nucleotide transfer RNA is filed under the name Aptostichus sp. LA. RNAcentral's name for it is "tRNA-Val". The record is from RNAcentral. Lineage: Eukaryota; Metazoa; Arthropoda; Arachnida; Araneae; Euctenizidae.
UGAUUUCUACUUCUCAGUGUAAGUGAGAUACUUAAAGUUUCUUUUUCCCCUUAGUGAACU